Long non-coding RNA from Anolis carolinensis (green anole), 1255 nucleotides. RefSeq lists it as uncharacterized. Lineage: Eukaryota; Metazoa; Chordata; Lepidosauria; Squamata; Anolidae. The record is from RefSeq and is a predicted model, not a curated record. The transcript has 4 exons.
UUUUCCAACCUUCCUCUCUCAAGAUGGCUGCCUCCUUGGCAUUUUCUCCCAACAUGGAGGCCUACCAUACUGUUAUCCAGGAUCCCUUUCUGGCCUACCAGGUAAGAUUCACUACACUUGUCAAUAAGCCCUAACAGCUUCAUGUGCCAGUUUCCAUUUCUGUGCAAUAAGUCCAAAGUCUUCACAUAAUCACCAAGAUAAUAUGCAAAUGUGGAAUGCUGUCACAAUGCACAUCAGCCUGCUAGUAGCCUUUUACUUGCUGCAAGACUAGUAUGAAGACUAUUCGAAGUCACAGAGAUAAAGGUCUUUUUAUUGGUUCAGAAUAGAAUUUUACUGACCAGUCAGCUUCAUACUGUGUUUAAUGCCACGUCUUCUAAUUUUUCCAACAUGACCCACACUUUCCCAAUAUUCUUCUGAGCUAACUGUCUGAAGAGAGCAGCAGCAUGCACCUUAAUUCCAGUUUAAGGUGUACAUCACACAGAAAUCAAGACACUAAACCCACAUCUUUGUGAAAACAGACAAGGCAAGAAACCCCAAGGAAAGAACAAAGGUCAGAAUUCUCUCAGGCUUGGCCCCAUGUUAGCCAACCUGAGUCCCUGCAGGGAGAUGGAGGCGGGAUAGAAAAAUAAAGUUGUUGUUAUUAUUAUUAUUAUUAUUAUUAUUAUUAUUAUUAUUUAAAAAAGUUUCAAAACUCAUUACAAAAUUGGGGGCACCAGCGUUUCAUUUCUAAAGUGUUUCUAAAGUACACAACUUAUGGAGACUAACAAAAAAUUGCACAUCCCUAAUCUCUAUAUGAGUAAUAAUAACCAUUUCCAAAUCAUAAAUGUAUCAAAAUAUUGUGAUAAAAGAAACAAUUUACAUUUGGAACAACAGCUAUAUUUUCACUAGAGAAUUCACCUGAAUUUCAAUGAUUAGAACAGGAUUGUGGGUAUCAGCACACAUUUUGGGAACCAUAUUAUACCUAUCAGACAAUAUUGAGCACGUUUCCUGUACUCGACCUCAAAAUUAGAUAUGUGCUUCUUUCUCUCUUCCUUUGUAAUGAUUUCGGAUUUGCACACAUCAAUGCUAACUGGAUAAUGUUCAAAAUAAUUAAUGGAAGAGACUUGAGUGAAGAAACUGUGACAACAAAAUAAAACCAAAGCACAGUGCUGAAUUGAUAAAUAGAAAAACUGAUUCAUUCUAACCUUGAAUAAAACCUGUACCCAGGCCUAACUAAAUUUGAAAUUUAACCACAUAUACUUUCAAAUAACCUAAA